UACGUAGGGGGCAAGCGUUGUCCGGAUUUAUUGGGCGUAAAGAGCGUGUAGGCGGCCGUACAGGUCAGCUGUGAAAACUCGAGGCUCAACCUCGAGACGUCGGUUGAAACCGUACGGCUAGAGUCCGGAAGAGGAGAGUGGAAUUCCCGGUGUAGCGGUGAAAUGCGCAGAUAUCAGGAAGAACACCUAUGGCGAAGGCAGCUCUCUGGGACGGUACUGACGCUGAGACGCGAAAGCGUGGGGAGCGAACAGG
Molecule: ribosomal RNA, 253 nt
Filed under: uncultured bacterium
Lineage: Bacteria
Description: partial 16S ribosomal RNA
Rfam family: Bacterial small subunit ribosomal RNA
Source: RNAcentral